RNAcentral lists this small RNA (448 nucleotides) under Histoplasma capsulatum. Its description in RNAcentral is "hypothetical RNA". The record is from RNAcentral. RNAcentral also lists the same sequence under 1 other name. Lineage: Eukaryota; Fungi; Ascomycota; Eurotiomycetes; Onygenales; Ajellomycetaceae.
CACAAAGCAGAAUGGACAUCAAAUUUAAUAUGAUCUCCAAGGAUAGGCUGUCUACAUGCGUGUCUCUAACCAAUUGCUUUCCAGCGAUAGACGGUCAGCUGCCGUCGCGAGACACAGGAUGGUAAUUAAUGUUGCAUCUCACAGGCCGUCCGUCCGACUGUAAAAGUCGAUAUGCAGCGUGUGAGGGGCUCGAGGAUUUGCCACAUAUUUGCAUAUAUCUGGACAUAUCUCUUCAGCCCUGGAUUUCUCCAUGUCCAUAUCCACUCUUCGAGAAGCAGUGCAUGGAAACACACCAUAUGUCUCGAUUAAACCAUGCCCACUGCCAAAACGCAACGGUCCCUCAAGGCGAUAGGGCCCAAGUCGCUUCCGUGCUACCUAAAAGCGACGUUCCCGUCAAGCAUGCAAUGGGCGCUGAUGAGCGUGCCCUAAUUUCUCUCGGAUAUAGACA